Molecule: long non-coding RNA, 17691 nt
Filed under: Coffea arabica (coffee)
Lineage: Eukaryota; Viridiplantae; Streptophyta; Magnoliopsida; Gentianales; Rubiaceae
Description: long non-coding RNA (CARA_LNC005960)
Source: RNAcentral
AGGAAAAAAGGAUUAGCCACUGAAAAAUAAGAGAAGAAAGGGGAGCUAAGGAAAACAGGGGAAGGCUUCGGCUAAAACAGAGAAAAAGGAGAGGAGGUCAUCGGCUGAACGGAAAAAGGGAGGAGGUUUUGGAGAAAGGAAAAAGAAAACAGAGCAAAAAGAGAGAGAGAGAGCCAGAGAGUAGACGGAAGAAAAAUUGAAAAAAGAGGGGAGGAAAAAGGGAAGAGGUUCGACAAGAAAACAGAGCAAAGGAAAACCAAGAAUCGAAGGAAUCAGCAAGGAGUUGCUGUUGCCGCUGCUGCCACCAGAAUCCACCACCACCACCCGCAAAUCCUCACCGCAAAAGCUUGGUAAGGUUCCCUCUCUCCAUUCCUCUCUUUAAUUUUGCUAGCGGAUGGGUGAAAAUGAGAGGUAUUGACCUGAUUUUCUCUUCCUUUCUUCUUUUUAGUAAAACUUUUAUCCUUUUCUGACGUCUAUGUAUUCAUGUGGGGCUAUUAUUUCUGUUGUGUGUGAGAAAUUUGAUUGGGAUGCUGUAAAUUUUGGAGCUGAUUAACUUCAAAUUGAGCAAAGGAUUGGCGAAAUUCUUUAUAACCCUGACCUGUUCGAUGAAAUGCCCAGUUGAGAGUUCUACUUGAAGAUGAUUUUGCCUGCGUUUUGCGUGUGAGAAAAAGGAACAUUCGGCUAGUUCAGUGUUUGUCCGAACAUGAUAGCUAAUUUUUUAUGGUAGAAAACAGAGUCUUGAGAGGCUCUGACGUGCUGGUUUUUUGCACUUUUUCUGUUUUUAUGCUGCCCUAUGUUUGAGUCCGAAUUGAUGUUAUGAGAGGGGGGUGUUGUGAGUUUCAUUGUCAGUUGGGAAUGGUUAGAAUUGAAACCAGAUUUCUGGUAUUGCUCUGAUCGCAAGGAAAGCUGAAAUGCUAACUGAUGUUAGCUCGUUGGAGAAGGCAAUUACUUGUCUAAAAUUGCAUUUUCAGUCCCUCCAUUUUCAUUUUAUUUUGUAAUUUAGCCCCAAAUCUUUUAGAACUUCAUAAUUCGACCCCAAAACCUUCAUAAUUCAUUCAAUUAGGUCGCUAUUUUUGUUGCAUUUGAACCCCCAACCUUCGCCUUAUUCUGAUAUGACUCAAAAAAUUGGAAAAAGUUAAAGUUAUUUCGUCCUUUCCGACUUUAAUCAUCUUUUCAUUUUUAAGUAGUCUUUUGGGGUAGAUUAAUUCUUGGUUUUAGGUUAUAAUUGUGGCUUAAUAAUUUUAGUUGAUUUUUCCAUGUUGGGUUUUAGUGAAAUAGGUGAUUUGGGUUGAGAGGUCAUUUUGCUUGGGUUUAAGGGAAUGGGUUUAGUUUAUUAUUUUUGGUUUUGGUUUGGGCUAGAGGAUAGAAGCCCACCGGUUUUAUUGGCUAAUCUUCGGGUCAUAAAUGAUAGAUUGGCCCAUUUCGUUGGUUCUGAGUUUGCGUUGGGCUGGGGAGUUUUCGGUCCAAACAAAUAAGGAAAUGGCCCAAAUGACCUGUUAGGUGAAGAAGUCUGGUGACGAAUUUCCAUUCCAGCCCCCUAACUUUUGAGUAUUUUCUCUAUGGCCCUAAAAAUUUUUAACUUCUUUCAAUUAGGUCCCUAAUUUAAUUGCAAAUAGGCCAAAACUUUAAUGGUGGCCCCGAAUCUUUGAUGGUUUUUAAUGGGCCAAAACUUUUGAGUGCUUUAAGGGGCCUCUUUUGGUCUUUGAUGGUGGCCCCGAAUCUUUGAGAUAAUUAUAAUUCGACCCCUAAAACUUUAUUAAUUUGUGCAAUUAAGUCCCUGCUUGUUUUAAUUUCUUAAAUGUAGGUUGUUUACAUGAUUUAAUUGAUUCAAUUUCAUGUUUAUUUUCAUUUUUUAUAAGUGUUUGUUAAUUAAAGUGAUGCCUUGACCUUUUUUAUUUUUUUUUUGGAGGGUAAAUAAGAAAAUUUUCACUUUCUUAGGUCACCAAUUCAAGGGAGGUAUACUCUAUCCUUUAUUUUUUAUUUCAUCAUAUUUGAUCUUAUGUGCCCUUAUGUGACUUUUAUGUGUAAUUGCAUGUCCUUUUAUGGGCUUUUUAUGUUUUAUUUCAUUUAUUUAUUGUUUUGAUUAUAUAUAUAUUUUUAAAUUUAAUUUGUAAUUAUUUGGAAGGCAAUUAAAUGCAAAAAUUGUAAUAGUUAGGUUAUUAUUUUACUUCAUUCUUUAUUCCCUUUAGAUUGUAGCUAGGGCCUUCAAAUGUAAUAGUUAGGGUUUUAUUUGCUUUGUGUGUUUUGCAUGCUUAUGUGUUUACGUGUUACUCGCUUUUUUAGCAUCUUGCAUCUAGAUAUCAUGCUUAUGUGCUAUAUGUAAUUUAUGUGUUUAUUUGCUUUAUUAUGUUUUACAUGAUUUAUUUGAUUGUAAUAAAUGCAUGACGUCACCACACUAGUCUCACGCUAGUCGUGGCUCCCUUUUUCUGAUAUCACACUAGUCCAAUGCCAAUUGUGGCUCCGUUUCUGAUUCCACACUAGUCCAACGCUAGUUGUUGCUCCUUUUUCCGAGUUCUCACUAGUUCAAUGCUAGUGAGAACUUAUAGACAUGGGUUAGUCCAACGUUAGACCCUUAGGAACCAUCCUUGCGUUAGAUCACAUUUGUGUGACAAUCAAUACAUUUCAUGUAUAUUUUUUUACUUUUUAGGAUCCUUAUCACUUUUGCAUGAUAUUUUCGCUGUAUAUAUAUAUCUCUCAUCCCCAUGUGAGACAUAACAUUAGACUUGCAUUUCAUUUAAGGAAAGUUAGGAGUAGAUUAGUGCAUUUGCUUGAUUAAAUUAGGGACAUUACCCCUCGAAUAUGGGAUAUGGACGAGUGUGAUUUUUUAGGCUUAACAUUCUCUCUGUUAAAGGAAAAAUUAAAGUCACGAGUAUGAGUUUCCUGCCCCCAUUAUGGUGCAUUUUCUUAGGUCAUUUGUGGAUUAUUAUUGUUUUUUCUUUCUUUUCUUCGAGUCUCAUCUUUUUCAAAUUUCAUGACCUUUUCAAAAAAUCACUUUUGGACACCGCAAUUAGUGCGAUUAGUGCCAAUCGAGUUUUGAAGAAACAUAUUUAUUCUUUCGAUAACCAUUAGGUCUAGAUUUGCAUCCAUAUAUCCAAAUGUGAUAAAUUCUUAGAUUAAAAUAAGAAAAUUUUUUGAUUAAAUCACGCAACUGGCCUUGGUUAGGUGGAAAGGGUGCCUUGAAUUAUUAUUCUUGCCUUCCCUUUCUUCAAAUGUGACUCCCGAUCCUUUUUUUGUGAUUUUUGAAGACUGAGAGUCGUUUAAAAAGGGGUCUGCUCUACUUUUUCUUUAAAAAAAAAUUCAUUUUAAGUGACUUGAUACACUUUAACCCAAUAUCAAGUAGUGAUUCCUAUUUUUAUUAAAAAUCCUUUUUAAACUAUUUUUUGGUCAAAAUCGUCGCACUUUCAAGUACCAUUUAGGCCAAUUUUCUUUAUUUAUUUUCUAAGAAAUCAAAAACUUCCUUUUCACUCAAAAUAAAUCAAAAACCCAUUUUUCACACAAAAUAAAUCCAAAAUUCAUUUUUAUAAACUCAUUAUUUUUUUCAUUUAAAAAAAUGGGGCGUGACACCCGUCUCAUCCACUGGAUAAUGGCGGAUGGUGGUUGCGGCACCGUCUUGUGCAGCGGUAGUCAUGGGGAACGCCCUUUCCAUUGAUUCAGCUAGGGAUUUUGGUUCAGUUUCAAUGUUUCGGGGGGAGCCCGCCCUUCACAUUUCUCACUAGGAGAUAUCACUGUUAGCUGCUCCCUUUCGUAACACGCUGAUUGGCAGAUUCGGUCAUCACAGGCCUUCUACGGACAUGAUGCGGAAAUUCUUUGUUUCACUGGGUUUGAAAGGAGAAUGCUUGAUGAUAGCCAUAUCCUAAUUUAGCUAACGCUGGAGGAAGACUAUGCGAGGUUAUUCGCCCAUUCGUUCGUGGUUUGUUCAUAAUAUCCCAAUGUUGAUUUCAUACAUUGACUAUUUUUGAUGGGUAAGAUGAGACAAUUUUUUCCACCAAAUCACCACUGCACUUAAAGCUUGAAAGGCUUUUUCCACGGAUCUCUAGUAAGUUCAAUUCAUCAAAUGUCCGACUUGCCCACGUGAAAAUAGCAAGUGUAAGAGCACGUGAAAAUAGUAUUGGCAGAGAGUUGAGUUUGGUGUCCAAAAAAAAAUCUAAAAUAAAUUCAAUGGACUUGGAAAUAAUUAGUUCAUAAGCUUUCCGAAAUCAACCAGUGAUACUACUGCCCAACAAUUUCACUGAUUUCAUUUCUUCAUUGGCUUUUGAAAACAAUACCACCAUUAAGAAUUAACCUUUUCCUAUUGCCCUGGAUUAAAAACCAAAGUGGAGACAGCGGGCAUAAUUAACCCACUAUUUCUCUCAGCUAUAGCCUCACCCACACCUAUUAUAAUUCUCUUCCACUCCCUCUAUUACCAUCCAAUUAGCGUCACUUUUACCCCAACUAGCCCCAAGCAAUUCCAACCAGCGACAACAUAAAAAGAUAUAUGCACCCGCACAUAAAAAGAUAUAUGCACCUACUGAUGAUUGUCACCGUGAAUAACAUAUGUAUAAAAAUAACUUCAACAAUUGCAACCAUGAAUCAAAUAGCAACACAAGAAGAAAAUGAGUAAAGCCAUGACUCAAACAGCCAACCAAAAAAAUUUGCCAGAGAAUAUUUUGAGAAAAAAAAUUAGGGGAAAAUAAUUGGAGCAAAAAUUAGGGAAUGGCCGCAAGCCAUGAGAUACCCUACCUGAGAGUUGGUGGAGAGCACAUCAAUCCCUUUCAGCAUUGAACGCACAAUUGGUCUAAAGUUUUGAAGAGUUUGAACGCACAAUUGGUGGAGAGUUUUCUUUCUUCUUUGGAGAGUGUAAAUAGCAAGUGUAAGAAGGUGAAGAGUAAUAUUGAAGACGUCUAGUACUAGUCAAAUAUAAGACCAUCCAACUCAAAAUAAGUUCCCACUUUGUAAUUACAAGUACUGCGCCAUAUUUUCCAUUUUUUUGUUUGAACAAAUUUUUGGUACUACUCAACAAGACCAUCCAUGUCAAUUGUUAACUUUAAGUUUUAUUUAAAUUUACCUAUAUAUAUUUUUAUUACUAAUAUAUUUACGAACAACUGUUAGCUUUAAGUUAAUUUACUAAUAUAUUUACACUCCCUCCCCUGAAUCAUCAAACCAUUUCUCCUCCUUUACUAAUAUAUUUAUAAUCACUAUUAUUUCUUAAUAUAUUUAUUAAAAAAUUCUAAUGGGUGGAAAAUUUUGUUAAAUUUAAACAACUAGUAAAAAAGUACUCUUGCUCAGGUUGUAAUAGUUUAUAUAGGUAUUCUAACUAGAAACUUUUGUUAAUUUUUUAGUUAAAAACCUAUUGCAAUUUGAGUAACUAUGACUAGUUCAAUAAAUCACCAAAUUUACAAGAAAAUUAAAUUGAUAUUAAGGUAAGUGAUGAUAUGGUGUUGUCACUAACUACACCAUAGUUUUAUUGACAAUAACGGGUUGUCAGUAAACUUAUACAGUGACAACAAUGAAAAGUUGUCAAAGAAAGAAGUAGAAAUACUGACGACUUUUAUUAAGUUGUCAUUAUCGUAAAACCUGUGCUUUCAGAGUCCUAUGGUGCGAAGUAAUUUUGUGACGACAAUUAGGAGCUGUAAUUGAAUAGUUAGCUGCUUUGAGUCAAUUGUGACAACCUUCAAUGUUGUGUCCAAAGAGCCCUAUUCCGUGACAACUUUCUGUUGUUACUAGAAAAUAUUGUCACUGAUGACCCUUUUUCUUUUAGUGUGUAUGGCAUCAUUACACUCGAAGGUUUGGUUUCAUUACACUAGAGGAGGUUCCUCUUUCUUACUUUCUUGGUUUCUAUUGCAUUCACGGGUCUUAGCAGGCCAUUUUUGGAUUCUUCUUCCUUUGGUGGUUCAAUGGUUCAAAUGGAAAGGCUGCAAUAACGCUCGCUUCCAAGGUGCUUCCUUCAUAGCAUCUCAAGUGAAUUUUCAGGCGGACCAAUUUAUGGAACAAAUGGGAGCUGCGAAGUUUUUUGAAGCCUCUCAAUUCUCUUGUGAUUGGGACUACCUGUGGUUUGGUUUUGUUCCUCGAUCACGGUUUAAAUCCAAGUUCUUUUCGGUUUCUUGGUCUAAACCAACAACCCAUUCUCUCAAGCUGAAUACAGACGCGAGCGUAUCUCAGGUAGGGGCUGCAGGCGGUCGAUUGCUUCGUAAUCAUGAUGGGGAUUUAGUUUUUUCUUUUUUCAAAGAGUUUGGAGAUGUUGAUGUUUUGAUGGUGGAAGAUUUGUCGUUGCUGAUCGGUCUUCAAUUUUGUAAGGAGUGUAUGUCCUACAAUGUUCUUGUGGAGGUCGACUCAAAGGUUCUUGUUCAAUUGGUGUCUUCUGGGUCAAUUGCUAGGUGGUCUUUAAUUGGCACUUUGUAGCAUAUACGGGCACUUCUGAACGAGCUACAUGCUUCUUUGGUUCACAUAUAUAGGGAAGCCAACUCCUCAGCAGACAUUUUGGCAUCUGCUAGGCUAGAGUGCGAUUUGGUUUCCACAGUAUCCGAGCACCUACCAAUUGCACUUAAAUCCAGUGUGCAUCUUAACAAGUCCUUAGUCCUCAUUUGCGCAAACACCGUAUAAGGGAGCAGUACACCUCUUGCUUUUGUUUGUGUAGCUUAUAGAAGAAUUUUUGCCAACUCAUUGUAGUCUUUUAUGGUUUUGAAUAAAGCAACGGACUGGCAUCCCAUUAUUGUGUAUGGGGUUUCCCAAAAAAAAAAAAAUUCUAGGGUUUAAUAUGCACUUGAACUAUUUGUGUUAUUACAAAUGACAUCUUUAUCAUAUUGAUUGCUUAUAUUUAUGUAAGUAUGAUAAAACCCUUAGAGUAAACUUUUGAUGAAAUCAUAAGAGUUAUGAUGGUAAGGUUCAUUCGAUUAUAAAUAAGGUUUAUUCUUAAAUAUCCAUAGUCAAAGUAUUAAUAAGAAAGGGCAUUAUUAGUACAGUUAAACUAGCAUAUACUAUGUUGUUUCUAUAUGAUAAGUAGUAGAUCUCAUCAACUAGCAUAUGGGACAUCUAAGGUAGUAUACGGGUGUUUGAUAGGAUGAUCAAAUUCACUAUAUUGAUCCGUAUAGAGAUAUCCUUUUUUUUUUUUAAAUUUAUAUAUGUUAUUGAUAGGCAAGAGAAUAGGUGUUACAAUGUAGUUUGAGAAGGCCAUUGUGACAACCUGUAAGGGAAAAUAAAUAAGGAGUACUUACUCUCUUACAUCAUGUCAUUAUUUUUCCCAACAGUGAAGAGUGUAUUUUUUGAACCAAAAAGGACUAAGCGUGGAAGUUUCUUCUUUACGUGCUUGACAUGCGAGAAAUGCCUCGAGUCUAGCCGUGUAAUCCCUAUAGUUCAUGACUAUAGUGAGUGCGCAUCAAAGGUGCCCAAUUUUUGUAAGUGUGCGGCUUGUCUUGCAAGGUCAUCCGCCUCCGUAUUAACCUCUCUGUAGUAGUGUGACAGGGCGAAUACAACCUAGUUUAGCAAAUUUUGAAUCCCUAUGACCUCCACAUCAAUUCUUCAUGGCAUCAAUUCUUCAUGGCCAGUUGGGCAACCCUUUAAAAAUGUGCAACAAGACCAGAGAGUCCAUCUCUACCUCCACGUGAUUGCAGCCCAAGGUGAUACAUAGUUAUAGACCUUCGAGUAGUGCCUUUUAGCUUGCAUGUUCGUUUGAUACUCAUAGUGUGAGGCAAAAGUAGCUAAGACUUGGCCACUUGAGUCUCUAACAAUCCCACCACUACUCGAGUUUCUCGGAUUCCCAGGUGAGGCACCAUCAACAUUCAGUUUUACGAACCGAUCUGUAGGCAGCGACCAAGCGAUAGUUAAGCAUCUUGUGGGCUUGGAACACUUGGAGAUGUGUAACCAACGCAGUGGCUAGAGCUCCAGUCCAUUGUGGCUGUCCGAGGCAAAAAAGUGAGCGAAGGAGAUGAAAUGAAGCAACUCAAGUAUGAGGUGAAAAACCUAGUUAGCCGUCAAUACAGCUCCCUCAUAGAUGGCUUUAUUCCUAGCUUUCCAUAGUUCCCAACAAAUUAGUAGUGGGAUAAUUUGAGUCAGCUCAGUUUGUAGCAACCCCCUGGAGCAGUGUGACCAUCAGCUUUGUAAUUGGAGCAUGAUGUCAUCGGAUAGCGCUGUCUGUAGUCCCAACUUCUGCUCCAUUUUCUCCCACAUCUGCCUAACCAAUCGACAUUCAAGGAAACAAUGGGUAAGGAUGUCCUUAUUAUCACAGAACGGGCACUUUGAAGGAAGAUUGAAGCCAAACUGCUGCAGGAUAUCUGGGAAUGGAAGCAUAGAGUUGAGCAAUCUCUACAUGAAGAUCGAUAUCUUGAGUGGUAUCCUCUUGCUCCACAUCAAUCUCCUGGAGACCAUUGAGCUUGAGGGUUGUUGAAGCACUUCUAGCGCGGAGGACAGUUGGAAAGCGCCAUUCGUAGUCAGACACCACACCACCUUAUCCUUACCCUGGCAAAGUCGAGUCUACUUGGCUUAAGUCCCAACCAUUAUCAUGCAAGAAAUCACAAACUCGAAUGUGUGGAAAAGGCACCUGCCUCUUCUGGCCUGCAAGGGGCCUAGAACCAAUCCAAUUGUCAUGCCAGAAUGAGGCUCUACCAUCCCUUAAUAGGCCUUGUAGGUUAUCUUCCACCAAGUCGCAUACUCGUAACAUGUGUUUCCAACUAUAGGAGCUUGAAGGCUUCACCGUAGCUAUAGAGAUAUGCUCAGAUGUAGCAUAUUUGGAGAGCAUGAACUGACACCAAAGAGUGUCGGAAGACCGCAACUUACACCAUAACUUGCAUCUGAAGGCUUUCGCAAUGUCAUCCAGCUCGCAUAGUCCCAACUUGUUUUCGUGCGUGGGUUUGCACAAAUUGCUCCAUUUUGUCCAAUGUCAUUUGUCGCGUCCAUCCACUUCUACUCAGAAAAAGGUGGACAUGACCAUCUCUAAUUGGCACAAAACACUUCUAAACAGUUAUGAGACUGUGAGCGUAUACAAAGGGAUGGCCGCGAGUACGUGCUUGAUUGGAAUUAGGCACCCUCCCGCAAAUAGCAACCUUUUCUUCCACCCAACUAGUUUCCCUCUCAUCCUAUCCACGAUUUGUUCAAAGUGUUCCUUCUUACCUUUACCUUUGAAUAGCUUGCUCCCGAAGUAGAUAAAGGGAAGAUCUUUUUGUUGGAACCUCAUCCAUCGAGCUAUCAACUGCUUCCUAGCCGUUGGGCAUUUGAAAGACAUCAUAAAAAAACUCUUUUCCUUAUUUAUCUUCUGGCAAGAGUCUCUUUGCUACAGCUCCAAAAAAUUCAUUAAGGCUUGAAUAGUGCGUCUUCCUCCCAUAGAGAAAAUAACAAUAUCAUUGGCAAAGGCUAGAUGUGAUAUUAGCAUGCAGCCGCGGCCCAAAUCGAAUGGUUGUACUGACCUUGUCAAGAUCAUGUUCUUCAAACCCCGGUUUAGUGCCUCUGACAUUAAUAUGAAUAGGAAUGGAGAAAGAGGAUCUCCUUGCUUCACAUCUCGGCUCACGUGGAAAAACCCGUAUGGCUUUCCAUUGACAAGGAUUGAGAACCAAGCAGAGGACAUGUUGUUUACAAUCAAGGAGGUAAAUCAAGGAUGGAUGCCGAACCGGUUCAUCAAGAGUGACAAGAAAUCCCAUGAGACAUAGUUGAACGCCUUCAUCAUGUCGAGCUUGAGCAUAACGUUGUGUCCCUUAACCUUUUUGUCUAUCGAAUUAACUAGUUCCUGUGCAAGCAAGAAGUUAUUCAAGAUCUCCAUACCACUGACGAAUAUCGAUUGCUUUGGAGAGAUGAGAGUAGGCAAAACAUUUUUUAAUCGAUUACCAAGAAUUUUAGUGAACACCUUGUUGAUGAAUGUGCACAGGCUAAUCGACCUAAAAUCCACAAAUGUCGUCGGGGAUUCCUUUUUUUUGGAUUAGUAUCAUGAGAGUGCUCACAAUGCCUUUAGGGAGUGGAACACCACACAUAAAUUCUCGAGCAGCCUGAAGAACAUCGGUCGCAAUUAUAUCCCAGCAAUGAGUGUAAAACCAUCCUGCAAACCCAUCACAACCAGCUGCACUACUACCAUCUAGUUCAAAAAUUGGUUUUUUAACUUCCUUAAGUGAGACUUUAGUUAGAAGUUGACUAUUCUAUUCAGGCGUUAUAAGAGCAAGAAUAUUAUUAAGCAAUUCCAUAGAUGCUAGGUUGUCUAUGGCCGAGGGCUCUGCCAACAAGGACUUGAAAAAAUCCACAGCUGCAGUACCAAUGGCUUUAUCGCUCUCAAUGGUGCUCCUAUUCUGGUUUUUGAUUCUUCUAAUAGCAAGCUGCGAUCUCUUGUCCAUUAGAGAGGAGUGGCAAUAUUUUGUGUUUGCAUCUCCUUCUUUUAACCACUUAAUUCUAGCUUUUUGUCGCCAAAAAUCUCUUUAUCUGCCAAGUGUUUCAGCAGAGCUGCAUGAGCUUGACUCCAUUGUAGGCGCGUUUCACAAGUGUCCUCUCUUUCUAGCUGUAGUUCUUUUAGCCUAACAUUUUCUUCAGCUUUAGCUACAUUAUCGAAGAUAUUCCCAAAAGUGGUCUUAUUCCAUACUCGUAAAUCAAGCUUUAACCUCUUCAGUUUUGUGACCAAAAGAGGCAUUCCGUAACCUGGAGUCGACUGAGUCCAAUUGCGUCGGACCAUAUCUAAGAAGCUAGUGUGUUUGAUCCACAUUUGUUGAAAUCAGAAUGAUCGAGUCCCAGAGCUGGAAAGCGGCUGGAGCUGCAAUAAUAAAGGGUUGUGGUACGAGGUUGCACGGUUAAGAUGCUGGACAGCGGAGUUUGGGAAGAGGCGCUGCCAUUCUAUGUUCAUAAGGAUGGGGCUCGUCCCAAGUACUCGUCAAUGGAUGCAACAACAUUGAAGUCACCACCUAUCAACCAUGGCUUGGACACCAGGUUACUCGAUAGGGCAACCAAAUCCAACCAUAGAGAUCUUCUUUCAAUGCUUGAGCAUUUCACAUAGAUAAACGAGCAAUAAGACACACAGUUCCAGGACUCGUGCAUGAGCGCUAAAUGGAUAUAUUGAUCUACAUUAACAAUAACAUCUACCGGCAGCCCACGCUUCCACAUUACCCAAAUCUUAUUGGAAACAUUACAAACCCGUAGGUUGAAACGAAGCUUUGAUGUGGAGCUGUCCAAUUGAUCAGGCUUAACCAUAGGCUCUAAGACUACUAAUAACGAUACUAAAUACAAUCUUGUUAACUUCUUUAAUUGACGAAUAGAGUCUCGACUAGCGAUGCCCCAUACGUUCUAGACUAUAGCGUAAAUCAUGAUAGGAUUGGGAGAGAGCUUCUAAAGUUACCUUUGAAGAUAGCCUUGACACUACUGCCUUGGGUAAGUAUAAAAAUGGCCUCCGUCACCCGUGCUUAGAUGAGGGUGCCACCUUCUGGGGAAUUGGAAAAAGAUGAUCAACUUGUUUCUUGAACCGAAUGAAAUCCUCCAUUUGUAGGUCACGUGGCUUGCUGCGCUGUUUUUAUCCCUCAACAUCCGACAGUGAGUCCAGGCUUCCGCACUGCAAGGAGAGUAGUUGGUGGUCAUCCAUAAGGGUAUUGGCUAGACUAUUGUGGUUAGGUAGGAGUGGUUUCUAUGGGUCAUAUCAAUCUUCCAAUAACCGCUGCUGUACCUCCUCUCUGUGCAGCGAAGAUGAUGCUUGUUGCAGCUUGCUCUGGCAUUGUUUUUCUGGUAUUGGCAGUGCUGCUAUUUUCGUUUGUGUGACCAAGCAUAGCUUGUUCGUCCAUGUGGAUUGUUCCUGAGGAUCGCUCUGGACAUGUUCCUAGUCCUUAGCCACCUGCGCAGUCUCCUGGUAUAGGUGGGGGGCCUGUCCUUAGGCCUGUGGAUUGGCCAAUAAUUGCGUGUUAAUAGUAUAUUAUCACCUGAUCAUUAGCCAGCAACUCUUUCUCUUUUGCCAAGGGGUGGUUCACCUCCAUCAAGUGGUUAUGGGUUUCCCUUGGGACCCAGAUUCUCUGCUACCCCAACUCUUGUCACAGAUUUUCAUCUUUGUUGCUAGGCUGUUUCAGUGCGUCGUUCAACUGUCUACAUAAUUUGUCUGAGUGACCCAACUUCCUGCAAUGCUUAUAGUAAUCAGGUAGGUUUUCAUAAUCGAUUCGCUACCAGAAUCCCAUGGAGCCAUUCCGAAUCUAUACUCAUUCAGGAAAGGGUCAUAAUAGGUCCACUUCAACACAAAUUCUAGCCACGCUUGGCCUAGCUAGUGUCGUUGUCGACGCAUCCAUGCAUAGGGGCUCCCCAAUCAAUUUUGCAAUGGAGAAUAAAGGCCUUUGUUAAAAAAGUGGAUUGGGAGGCAAUGCAGAUGGAUCUAAAUGGGAACAACCGAGAAUUCAGUGUCAACUGAAAAAUUCAGAGAUCAUUUAAAAACUCGCAUACCAAAUCCUUGAAAGGACCAGAAGCCCUGCAGCCAGUAUCUAUGAAAGUCGUUUUCUAAUUUGAAAUGGAUUAGAACAUGUCUUGUAUCAAGGAGUCCCAAGGAUAAAGGACCCUUGAAUCCAAUAGUGACGAAGUCCUUUCAGAGGGCUUUCAUUGAUGGCCGCCCCUUGGAGAAUUUUCCAACAAAAGCAAACUUGAAGGGAGCAGACAGGAGCUGGAUAUCAUCAUCCGAGAAGGAGACUGCUAGCUCUCUCCUUUAUAAUUCAUGAGGCUUGAGGCAAGAGGUGGCCGUUAGGGCAGAGUUCUAAGUGAUGUUUGUGUAAUUGAUCUUUAGAUGUAAGUGAUGUAAUUGGCCGUUAUCAUGGUAUCUUAAGUAUGAAUAGUUAUACUUUAUUUGUUAUAUGAUUACUCCCAUAAUAAGGAAUACUCACAUUAUUAGCAAAUGAGUAUAUACAUGAAGUAUGGAAAGACGGUGAAUAACCUAAAACGAUUUGUCACCUCUUAUAGAAGAAGAAUUAUCUCAUGUCUGGCUACUUAUAGAAGAGUAACUCAGAAUUCUUCGCAAAAUUUGUUAUCUGCACAAAUUUUUUUUUCUGAGGGCUCGUCUGUACAACUUCAAAUGGCAUUAAAUGCAUAGAUAUUGUGGAAUACAAGAAGCUGUUACAUGAUUUUCUUGCGGUAAGUUUGUCUUACUUGGGUUAUGGUCUGUGGUUUUCUUUUAAGUUAUUUUACACAAUACGGGCAAUCUUUCAUUUGGAUUGCAUUUUUUAGGGAGUUUCCAGGGGAAAAAUUACUGUGGCAUUUUUUAAGGAUGUGAUGUAGAUAAUGUAAAAAGUGAUUGGAAAUUAUGUACAAGGAAUAUUUACAGAAAAUAACAAAAUUUUUUGUGUAGAAAAAACACAACCCAAACGGGGUUAUUUCAUUCGUAACAAUGAAUGUUGUUGUAUUGAAAUUUUUUAUAAUGAAAUUGCUUCUUCUUAAUCUGGAUAAAUGAAUUUGAAAAUCGUUAAUUAUAUGCUUAAAUUGACUUUAUUGUGAAAAAUCACAUGCUUAAACUUAUCCAUUGUAGAACUUGUUACGAGACCAUGAAUUAUUUAUUCUUAUUGAACUUUAGUUUGAUGCUUAAUUCGGCAAUCUGCAUCUUAGAGAUAGCAUCAUCUACGAAUUAAGUCAAUACUAGUCAUAAUGAAAAGGUUAAAAGAAAAUUACAAAACUUAUAGAAUUUGAGGUUAAAAAGUGAUACUAACUUUUUUUUUACGUUGUAGAGAAAUUAAUUUUUAUUAGAAUUAUAUUAUACUUUUCCCAUGAGAGUUUUUGCUCUCUGUGGGCACUUCUUUGUGAAUGCAAGUUUCCUUCUUCCCUAAAACUCUAGUGGAAGUUUUUUCAACUGCUUCUCUCUCAACCUUUUGUAACGAUCACACCUCCCCUUAGGGCGAACCCAAGGGUUUGGUGAACCGCCUACCUAACUCUCGCCAUGACUCGCUUACUCACUUCCAUAAAACGAGUUACAAAUUCAAAAGUAAAUGAAACAACAGUUCCCAAACUUAGAAUGUACAUUUACCUAGUUCUAUCUCAAACAUUCAUACAUUUUCCAAUAUAACAAAAGAUUCAAAUUCUAGAUAACUUUCAACCCUAAUUGAGCACUAGUGCAAGUACAAUUACAAAAGUCAAAAACUAGACAUCACCAGUCUGUACCAACCUCACGCCUAUGCUCGUACCCCCUGUAAGGAAAACAAAACUAAUAGGGUGAGUCAAAACUCAGUGAGGUUCCAAAACAUCAAGCGAGUUGACCAUUGUAUAAAAUUUGAAAUAUUAAAUUAGUGAGUAUAAAAGUUCAUAAAAGUGAGCAAUAACACUUCAAGUAGCAAAUUAGAUAAAUAUCCAACAUUUUCAAGUAUAAGGAUACAGUCGCUUUUGCGAGCCAACUCGGCCAUAGCUUGCCAGGAAGUAGUCGACCCGAAGGAAGGAAGAGAUUUAGGAAUUCAAUUUACACUUCUAGCUACAUAAAAGGAACUCUAACUCCUUUGAAGGCAAGGAAAUUCCCCCGUUCGUGUUGAAAUCCUAAGGAUCUAGAGGAGGGGAUGGGUUGUAACCAGUCCAGUAGAGCACUACUUAACUCUAAUCUUCAUCCACCAUCCAACCCCCUACCGGGCCCGGAUUCCAAUAUAAACAGUGGUGGUAAUACUUGAGCAUACCAAUUAGUCGAAAAGAUAACACUCCACUCGACAGAACAGGAGACCCAGGGUUCGUUAUUUAAUCGACUAGGCCCUUGUCGGCUCGACUUGAUUAACUAGCCAUAGGAUUUUUAGAAUUCUAGAUAGUAUUCAAGUCAUAUACAUGUAUAUUAAGUCAAUUGUAAUCAAUGCACAGUAAUAAGUCACAUAAGGGCAAGUGCGAUAAAGUACACCCUUACCCGACUAAAUAAGUCAAGUAUUAUUCAAUUGUAUUAGCAAAUCAUUUCAUUCAAGGAUCAAGUUCAAUCAUGUACUGGAAAACAUUCACCAAUGAUUUAUUGCUUUUCAAGACCAAGUUCAGGUUCAACUCCCUGGCUGGAGCCUAAAUCUGUGGUAAACUACCGUUUAACAGCUUGCAAUCAAUUAGGGUUUCAAAAUAUAGGAGUUUCGCUUAAAGAAAACUAAGUAAAUAGAACUCAUUUAAGUAGUACUCGUUUUACUUACUAAACCCUAGAAAAUUCGUGCUCGUUCUUUUGGUUUCGAUAAAGAAGCGGUUAAAACUUUUAAGUUCGCAACUUGGUAUAAGAAACUAGGAAAUCUUGUUUAAAGUGGUCGUUACUUUGUCUUUGAAAAAUAUACACUUUUGAGCAAAAUUUUAGCUUAUAAGUCACCCAUAAGGCCAACCUAAGCAUCUCUACAUAACUAAGUCCCGAAUUGAGUACAAGUCACAUCCCUAUUUCUGCUUUCACUCACUUAUCCCAGGAGAGGAAAAACGGUCAGCAUUUCCUUUGUGUUUACCUAAUUUUUCAGCCAUUUCAAGGCUACAUCUUCACCCCAAAUCAACAUCACAAGUAAUAAGAUAAAAGUAGCUCUUAAUCUAGGCCAUAAACCUUCCAAUUAAAGCUCGCUUCUAGCAUAUAUACAUCACAAUAUCAAAGCUGAAAAAUCUCUAAUAAAGCUAGAAUUUCCUAUUUAAAAGCUAAAAAGUCACAAUAAGGCCACAAUCAUCACACAAGUCCAUUACCAAGCUCAAUAUGAACAUAUCAUGGAUAAAAAACAUAAAUCAAGGCAGAAAAAUCAUAAACCCUAGGCUGAUUUUUCACUAAUCUUCACCAAAUCCAGAUUAUCAUCCAUAAAAUUCCAAGUUUCAAGUCAUCUUCACCAUAUUUUACAAGAAUAAGAAAGAGAAAGGAAGUUGUUCAUUUUAUACCUUCACCCCUUGAAGAAAAUGAAGAAACCAAGGCUUCCUUUCCAAAAACUCUCCACUACAAGCUUCCUUGGUGUGAGUUUGUUCGGUUUAGUUUUGUGAUUCUAACUUAAACAAGGCAAGAAUCAAGAUCCAAAUGGAAGUUUCUCUCCUUUCUUUUCUCUCCUAGUGGUUCGGCCAUGACAAGAAGAAAUGGAGGGAAAUUGGCCAAAAGAAAGAUAAGAAGGAAAGAAAGUUACUUUGGUCAAACUUGUCUUGGAUUGCCAACACUUGGCAGCCAAGUUUUUUUUUCUUUUCUUUCCUUUUCUUAGUCAACAAUUUCGGCCAUCUUUAGGGUUAGAUUAAGGGAGGAUUAAAUGAAACAAAAACAAGGAGAUUGGGGUAAGAAAGUAUUGGUCAAGUGGCGUACUCAACCGGUAACAAACGGCACACGUCGGUUCAAGUAUACUUUCUUAACUCUCUUGCACUUUUGUUUUAACUUAUGAUUCAUUAACUUAUUUUUAGCACGUAUAAUCACAUAUUUUCUCUUACUUAAUAUCCACUCUUAUCCACCAAAUUUAGUACACACACCUCAUCAAGUGAUCACACUACCAAAAUGCACAAAAAACCCUAACUUACGCCAUUCCUUUAGAAAAAUCAUAACUUGAGUUAUAAAUGUCAAAAAUUCAUACAACUUGGCCUGUUAAAAACUAGACUUGAAACACUAAUAAUCUUUAGAAGAUACCUUAAAGAGAUUCAGUUCAUAAGUUGGUCCAAAUUGAGUUGUAAGCUACUAUAACAUUCCUAUUUUUACUUGUGCAGGGCAGAAUUUUCAGUCAACUUUGCCGAUUUUCUGGUAUUUAUAGAAAUUGAAUCAAACUUUGAAUUUUAUACCGUAGGAAGCUCUAUGAGCCUAGUUUCAAAUGCAACAAACGAAACUCAAUUCCAACUUUUCUAUACGAAAUUAUAGUCAAUUUCCCAAAACUGCGUAGAGCCUCCUGCGAAAAUUUCUAGAUUUUCUAAUAAUUUGAGAAAAUGAAACUUUUAUUAACAAAAUUCACUUCCUUGGCACAAAUUCAACAUACAUGUGAAGAUUAAGGUUUAACAAAGUAUCUUAAACAAAAACCUUGCCAAAAUCAUCAUAAAAUGACUAAUAUUUCCACAUAGAAGCAUAUAUCAAACUCACCAUAAAUCUCCCCAUCAAGCUACUAAGGUUUUCAUGAAAUGUACCUAAUCCUUCCUCUUUAUAAUAUGAAGAGACAUCUAGCAUGAUUCUUAACCAAGAAAUCCACCAAAUGUAUCGUACAUAUCUCACUUGUCGGUUACACCAGUAUCGUGCACUAUGAAACUUAACAUGCAUCCAAUUAAGCAUGCACCAAGUUGAAUAAUAUAAUGGAAGAAAAAUCAUGAUUGAACUAUUAAAGCAACCAAGAAUUUAAGGCAAGUAAGUUCAAAUAAGAUUUAUAAAGACAAGUAAAAUUUCGGGACCUCGCACCUUUUCACUAACACCUCUCUCAAUUACAUCUAAUACUCAUAUCAUUCGUAUUCCGUUCUACCUUUUCUCAUUAUUAACUAUGAUUCUCUUCUUUGCUUUAAUUUCUUUUAUUAUCCUUUUUUUCAUAGUUCUUCCUUCCAUUUUCCUUAGUUUUUCUACCUCUAGCCUUAUCUGUUCCUAGCUUUUAUUUCUUUUGUGAUUUGUAGGUUUUCAGAUUGUGAAGAAUUUUGUUUGUGUAGACAACUUCCUCUACUCUGAAAAGGAUUGUCUUCUUUCCUCCAGUACAAUGGCUAAGGAAUUAGAAAAGAUGUGCCAAAAUUUAAGCUUAUGUGAAGAUGAGGAAGAAGUAAUGCUGAUGCUGGGGAACAAAGAUGGUGAGGACAAUUUCCAGGGUGACUUAUGCAUCCUUGGUAAACUUCUUACUCGAAAGCCUUUCAAUGGAGAAGCAAUGAUGGCUAUCAUGAAGAAAGCUUAGAAUCCAU